This 253-nucleotide ribosomal RNA is filed under the name uncultured bacterium. RNAcentral's name for it is "partial 16S ribosomal RNA". It matches the Rfam family "Bacterial small subunit ribosomal RNA", at positions 524 to 776 of the family's 1533-position model. The record is from RNAcentral.
UACGUAGGUGGCAAGCGUUGUCCGGAAUUAUUGGGCGUAAAGCGCGCGCAGGCGGCCUCUUAAGUCUGAGGUGAAAGCCCCCGGCUCAACGGGGGAGGGCCAUUGGAAACUGGGAGGCUUGAGUAUAGGAGAGGAGAGUGGAAUUCCACGUGUAGCGGUGAAAUGCGUAGAGAUGUGGAGGAACACCAGUGGCGAAGGCGACUCUUUGGCCUCUAACGGACGAUGAGGCGCGAAAGCGUGGGGAGCAAACAGG